This 207-nucleotide ribosomal RNA is filed under the name uncultured bacterium. Its description in RNAcentral is "partial 16S ribosomal RNA". It matches the Rfam family "Bacterial small subunit ribosomal RNA", at positions 130 to 334 of the family's 1533-position model. The record is from RNAcentral.
CCCUUGGUGGGGAAUAACUAGUCGAAAGAUUAGCUAAUACCGCAUAAUGCAGCGGCUCGAUAUCGAGACAGUUGUUAAAGCAGCAAUGCGCCUAAGGAGGAGCCUGCGUCUGAUUAGCUUGUUGGUGAGGUAAUGGCUCACCAAGGCUGCGAUCAGUAGCUGGUCUGAGAGGACGGCCAGCCACAAUGGCACUGAAACACGGGCCAU